RNAcentral lists this ribosomal RNA (253 nucleotides) under uncultured bacterium. RNAcentral's name for it is "partial 16S ribosomal RNA". It matches the Rfam family "Bacterial small subunit ribosomal RNA", at positions 524 to 776 of the family's 1533-position model. The record is from RNAcentral.
UACGUAGGGGGCAAGCGUUGUCCGGAAUCAUUGGGCGUAAAGAGCGCGUAGGCGGCCCUGUAAGUCCGCUGUGAAAGUCCAGGGCUCAACCCUGGGAUGCCGGUGGAUACUGUCGGGCUCGAGUCCGGAAGAGGAGUGUGGAAUUCCUGGUGCAGCGGUGAAAUGCGCAGAUAUCAGGAGGAACACCAAUGGCGAAGGCAGCACUCUGGGACGUGACUGACGCUGAGACGCGAAAGCGUGGGGAGCAAACAGG